GGGAGCUGAGCUCCUCUGUCGUCUCUUUACCAUGAUUUGUCUCAAAUGUGGACUCUCUCCGGGAUUACCUCCUUGCAGCUGCAGUAUCCAGCUGUUGCUAUCAUUCUCUGCCCUCCUGCGUUUCUAAUUGUUGUACUAUUCCGAUCUAUUGUACCCAAGUCGCCUGAAAUCCGCAGUGGAUUUGAGAACUAAAGCCAGGACACAGAAUGAAGCCAUUCAAUCCAGGGAUGGAAGAUCAACCAUCCCACUCAUCUUGUCUGUUCUGAACAUCAUACUUUGGGAAGGAUGUCAAGACCCUGGUGAAGAUAGAAAGGAGAUUUCGUGGAAUGGAUAUCAGUGACAAAAGAAAUCAAAAUCCCAUGCUUGUGAUAGAGACUUGAGAUAGGUCAUCUGGGUGAGUGGUGUCCUAAUAACAGACUUGCACUCAAUGUCAGCAAGACCAAGGAACUGGUAGUGGACUCCAGGAAGCGGAAGUCAGGUGAACUAGUCCCAAUUGAGGUGUCUGCAGUGGAACAGUAACUAUAUUCAAGUUCCUCGGUGUCAACAUCUCAGAGGGACAAAUGCCUAGAUGCAGCCAAGAUGAAGGCACAACAGGAUCUCACCUUAAAAGUUUAUGGAGAUUUGGCAUGUCAUCGAAGAAACUCGACAAACUUCUGCAGAUGUAUAGUGGAAAGCAUUUUGACUGAUUGCUUGACAGCCUCAUAUGGAAACUCCAAUGCAUAGGAACACAAGAGGCUACAGAGAGUGGUAUGCUCCCUUCCCACUACUAUCAAUCAGGCACCUUAGAUCCCACAUCACCAGGUUCAGGAACAGUUAUUACCCUACAACCAUCAGGUUUCUGAAGCAGCAUGGAUAACUUCACUCACAUCAACACUGAACUGCAACCUAUAGACUCACUUUCAAGGAUUACAACUCAUAUCCUCAGUAUCUUUGUUUAUUGUUAUUUGCAUGAUUUCUCUUCUUUUGCAUAUUGGUUGUUCAUCAGUCUUUACUUGUGUGUGGGUUUUUGUGGAUUGUAUUGUAUUUCUUUAUUUUCCCAUAAAUGCCUGCAAGAAAUAUCAUAAUCUCAAGGUAGUAUACGGUGACAUAUACAUGCUCUGAUAAUAAAUUGACUUUGCUGAAUUCUUUCAACUCUCCCCAUACUUGACAUCUACAAGAGGCAAUGUCUCAGGAAGGGAACAUCUAUCAUCAGAGACCACCUGGGCCAUGCCCUCUUCUAGAUGCUGCCAUCAGGCACGGAGGGUACAGGUGUUUGAAGACCCACACCUCAAGGUUCAACAAAACCUUCUUCCCCACUGCCAUCAAGUUGUUGAACCAGCCUGAUAAUCCUUAACAUUAUGUUAGAAUUGUUUUUCUUGUCUCUCUCAAUCUUGUACUAGUGUUGUUAAACUUAUUUUGUAUUUUAUUUUGCAAAUUAUGUAUAACUUAUGUUAAUUUAAGUUUAUGUUAACUUAUGUUUGUCCUUAUCUUGUAAUGUACUGUUUUGGUGUUGCAAAAAGUUAAA
Hypanus sabinus (Atlantic stingray) is the source of this 1504-nucleotide long non-coding RNA. RefSeq lists it as uncharacterized. The record is from RefSeq and is a predicted model, not a curated record. Lineage: Eukaryota; Metazoa; Chordata; Chondrichthyes; Myliobatiformes; Dasyatidae. The transcript is spliced from 3 exons.